AACUCUGAUGAUUCCCUUGACUAUUCUGACAUGCACCCAUGGAUUCGCCAUGCUCUUAAUAGCAAGGCCUGGGCUAUAGGCAUACUGAAACAUUCCGGCCCCAAGCCCCUUUCUAUGCAGGGUUAUCCCUUUCCUUUCACCUCGGUGUACUCGAAAAUUUUAGGCCUUUGCCAUUGUUCUAUAGAUGACUGGGUUGCCUGGUGUUAGACGACCUAGAGUUGAUGAGUUGCGCCAUCCAUGUCACCAUCUUUUCGUCAACCAAAUUGAAGAGUUUGACCAUUACCAGUACACACAUCGAGGAAGAUUUCCCUAUAGAAUUUCAGCAUCUUGUGAUAGAUAUGCCAAACCUAGUCUCAGUGCAGUAUUCUCAGUGCAGUAUAAUUUGGAAACCAUCAGGUUCAGUGCAGUAUUCUCAGUGCUCUUUCAUACGCCACCAAAUUGACUGUGGUAUCUCCGUCUGUCUUUGAAGAUGUAUGCUUCCAACUUUAAAAUUAUAAUUUGCUCCAAUUUGUUACCUUUAUAUAUCCUUUUACACGUUUCAUGAUUUGUUUGCAGGUGGUGCCAAAGGUAUUGCAGCAUGAUCUUCUAAGUUGUGAGACAUUCAGCAAUCUGGAACAAUUGCACCUUGGCGAAUGGUUUUCGAGUCCUGGGUGCUAUCCACUAAUAUGCUUGCUUCGGCGCUCACCUGGCAUAAAGAAACUUGUCCUGCAACUUGACGAGGCAAGAUAUUGCACCCCUCCCUCUGCAUGAAAUGAUUUUUCUGCUUAUAUGAAGUGAGUUUAACAGUGUCUUCUUUUUAACAUACCAGAGUGGAGAUGAUGACUAUGAGAGUCUUCCAAAUGCUGAUGCUGAAAUAGAUCCUCCUUGCCAGGAAGCAAAUAACAAACUUUAGCUGCAAAGAACUUCGAGAAAUCAGUAUCCACUGCGACCCACGUAGUGAUAAAAGGGCCCAAAUCAUCACGCGCAUCUUAUCAGCCCAUCUUUGUCCUCUCUCUGAAAUCAAAAUCUGGCCCAUUACCACUUAGGUUUAGGAUGGUAAGUUUCUUAAACCAUGCAUGCUUACAAAAUCGUGAAAUUACACCUCUGACGCUUAAGAGAUUUGAGUUAGCCAUUUAUGUAUCGUGGGGAUUGACGAACAUCCUUGCAUGCUGCUGUAGGUGAUCAGGAUUUGGUGACCUGGUAGCUAUCUGACCAUGGGUUAGAGCCUAUGGCACUUGGAAGGCUUGCUAUUUGUCGGAUCGAUGACAGUACUCGUGACUUGGCAAGUGCAACUGCCAUGUACCUGACCGCUGUCUUCGGUCAGCGUAUCGCUUGCUACCUUAAUUUGAUGCUUUUGCUGACCCUUUCUGGCUUAAUGUUUUUCUUCGCCGUCUUGCACCUAGCAUGGCAGAAAUAACACCAGUUGUCUGGUCAACUAUGUUUGUAAUUCAGCGUGUGGUAAAAAUGGUGCACGCUGGUCAUGCAGCUUGAUUCUUGUCCAAUGUGUGGCUAGUUUUAAUUACCGGGCUAGUGCUUGUGAAGCGGAAAAGAAACGUCCAUUUGGUCUUGGCCCCAAUGCUCUGAUGAUGGUUGACCUUAUGAUCGACCCGGUGGUCCGCCUCAGGCGACUUCUCCUCGGCCUCCGCUUAUUGGGCUCUCUUCCUAUGUUGGUCGACGCUGCUGGGAGCCAAGCAGGCAGCAGCUAUGGAAAGUGCAGGCACCGGGUUGAUGCCAUUUUGUGGUUGGCUGGUAAUCCAUGGUUGCUACUGGACUUCUAACCGGCUACGGUGCCAUGGGUUGCAGGACAGGUAUGAUUGUGCCCUUUGUGCGCGGGAGGUGGAAACUCUGGACCACCUUUUGACUGGUUGUGUAUAUAGUCGAGAAAUUUGGUUUCGUAUCCUCAGUUGCAUCGGCAUGCCUGGGUUGACACCGCAAGUAGAAAUCCCAUUUGCAAAAUCAUGGAUCCAAGCACGAAAGAUGGUCGCGAAGAUUAGGCGGAAGGGAUUUGAUUCCCUUUUAUAGUUGGUCACUUGGUCGAUUUGGAAGGAGCGGAACUAUAGGGCCCAUAAGCGCUCGGCUCUGCCCUCAGUGAUUUUGGAGGAGGCUAGGAUUUGGGAGGAAGCCGAUUUUGUUAGCUUAGCACCGGUUCUUAGCUUCAUUAGGUCGUGUCAUUUUUGUUAUCUUUUUUUCUCUUUAAGUACCAGAUUUGUAACAUUUGUAACCUUAUACUGUUAAUGAAAAACGUGCUAUGUACGUCUUAAAAAAAUGAUCAAUGGUUAGAAGAAUUUUUGUUUUCCGAUCAGUUUUCGACUGAUCAUCUAUGAUCAGUUCCCUCCUCUCUUUACCUCCGCUAAAAUAGAGAUGCAAGAGCAACUCCUUUCCCUACAUUCCUGGUUAAAGGAGAUUGAGGGGAAAACACCUCUCCAACACAUUGAGAAAACAAUCUCUUUUCCCUAUAUUUUUUUCACCACAAUUACUUGCAAUUUAGUGCUUCUAAGGUUAUGUUUGUUUUCCUUCUAAAUUAUAUUAACUGGAUUAUGGUUCAUGGGUAGGAUAGUAAAAUGCUAUCCUGGAAUCAUUUUAAAAUAUUUAUGAUCCUACAAUGAUCCUAAAGUAUUGUUUUACCCUAUUACCUAUAAUUCAUAUUAUAUAAUUUGGAUUGAUUAUAAUCUGAAAUAAACAGCCAAUUCGUUAGCGUUAGCGACUUUCCAUACAAAAACUACUCGUUUUGAACCGUAAAAUUCUGCCCAUUCCAUCGCAUUGCAGCCGCCAUCUGCUUAUAGAUGUCAACAACUGCUUGGGAACACGUGGAAAGGCCAGAGACACGAGAUAGCUUAGAAUUAGAAAUUUAUAGGAGAAAAAUAAAGGAUUUCGAGACACAUGAAUACGAUUCGUGUCUCCGGAUGGGCAUCGACGAAAAAAGCACAUAAAUCAUGGAGAAAUGCUAGGAUGGCUGUACCUUUGCUUCCUUAAUCGACCAAAUAAAUCCCUCCUGAAAUUUUCCAUCUACUGAUUUACUCCCUCCGUUCUUUUUUAUAAUGACUAAGAAAAACAAUCCUACUUAUCAACCACUUAAUUAUAUCAUUAGUAUUCCUCGUAAACAAGCGAUUAGUUAUGGCUCAUACUUCUAGAUGCUCACAUAGCCAAUCUCACGUGGAAGAACGAAGGGUCACAUGUUAAUUCUGAAAUAACCAUUAAGUGGAUGGGUAAUUUUUUAAUUUGAAAAUAUCCCAAUCAAAAGAGAACGGAGGGAGUAAUUAUUAGCACUGACAGCGUGGGCCCCCUGUCCCAGCGACCCAGCCUCCCUCCUUACAGACACAGCACGCACACACUCCACUCCAGUCCCCAUUUCCCCAAGCGCCGAGCCGCCGGCGCCGGACCCCGACCGCCGACUGCGACCCCGCAGCCGGGGCUCACACGCCCAGCCACUACGGCGCCGCCCGCGGACCACGACCGCACCGCCACCGCCUGCACGAGCAUGGAGACGCCUCCUCCACCAAUAGAUCUAGCGGCCAGCCGCCGGGGCGAGCGCAGGUGAAGUGAAGGAACCGGUCGGCCUGCCUGCUUCCUCGACCCCCAUUGCUGGAGCAUCAAUCGGGCCGCCCCGAAUCCUUGUUCAAAUCUUCCGAUUUCAGCCGGCAUUGCAAACCCUAGCUGGUAUGCUAUUGCUCUUGUUCUCGUCGCUGCUUCCUUGAACCAGAUGAGGCUUGGUUUUGUUGACCCCUUUGGGCUACAUUCUUAUGGAUCUUGUCCCCUGCAGGUUAUAGAGGCGCAACUGAGAAGAUUCCGAUUCCGAGGGGGCCGAGGGGGGAACAUCGUUGGACUAGAAGUGAGUGUGCCCGGUCUCCCAUUCCCAUUUCUUUCUGUUAUUAGGUGUUGGUGGCAUGCUGUAGCGCAUUAUACUGGACUGUCCGUUGUGUACUGCUCGGUGUAUUAGGUAUUAGUUUAUACUCUAUGGCUGCGUUGUUUAUUUGCUUGAGUUUCUUAAUUCGGUGGCAUUGCUGAUUUAAAGACAAUGCACGUGCGAUGCAUAGAGGAUAAGACCUCCUCAGUGCACUGCCUUCAUACGAAGCAUUGUUUAAAAAUUGGUAAGGUCUAUAAUAUAGUUGUUAAACAAACCAAUCACAUCUGGGAAGAGCGCAUUAGCAAACAGCAAUUGGUGCUCAUGGCACAGUGCUGCAUUACUAGCUGAGAAGAAAUGUGAAGAGGACUUAGAUGAGUGGAAGAAGAUUGGACUUAGAUGUUGACAUUUGGUCCUGCCUUUGUUGAAAAUCUUAUUUGAAGAUUAUGCUGGUUGGCUGGUUGCGCUACCAUCUCAUUCUAAAACGAGCUCAUGUUAGUGCCACCCUGGAAUAAAACCCGAGUAGACUGAUCUCAGGAGGCUAACAAGUCCAUUUUCCAGUAUUGAUUGGUGAGGGAUGUAAACUACCUAGAUUGUCUAUUGUCUUAUGUCUCAAACUCAUUUGUUUUCUUCUUGCAAUAAUGCAUUCGUGAUUGGAUAUUGCCUGUGUAAUGUAGUCCUUUUGCUUACAUUGCUCCUCUUAUGUGGGUUCCUUUGUUAUGCAGAGACAGCAUCAGCGUGCAACAUUCAAAUGCCCCUGAUGAAGCAAGCUCUUCGAGGAACAGCGAUCCCUGGCUCUUCCAGUCAGAAGAGUGCCCCCGACAGAAUCAGUGCCCUACCGGAUGAGCUGCUGCUUCAUGUCAUGUACUUCCUAACCCUGCAGGAGGCAGCGCAGACAAGUCUGCUUUCACGGAGGUGGCAGAAUCUCUGGGCAUCUUUGAUGUGGCUCAAUUUUGACGCAGCCAAGUUCAGCAGCAUGAGAACUUACAGAAAGUUUGUUAACAAUGCGCUUCUGAUCCGAAGUUCAUUGCCAGUUCCGGUGCCACUGGAUGCAUUUUGGAUUUCUGCUGAAUGCGACAACUCUGAUGAUUCCCUUGACUAUUCUGACAUGCACCCAUGGAUUCGCCAUGCCCUUAAUAGCAAGGCCUGGGCUAUAGGCAUACUGAAACAUUUCGGCCCCAAGCCCCUUUCUAUGCAGGGUUAUCCCUUUCCUUUCACCUCGGUGUACUUGAAAAUUUUAGGCCUUUGCCAUUGUUCUAUAGAUGACUGGUUUGCCCAGAAUCUCUCUUCCUGUUGCCCGUUGCUGGACGACC
RNAcentral lists this long non-coding RNA (5133 nucleotides) under Setaria italica (foxtail millet). RNAcentral describes it as "long non-coding RNA (SITA_LNC006041)". The record is from RNAcentral. Lineage: Eukaryota; Viridiplantae; Streptophyta; Magnoliopsida; Poales; Poaceae.